GGUGGUGUAGUGGGCAGUUACUUCGACUUGUAAUCGAGAGGUCGCGGGUUCGAGUCCCGCCGAUGCCU
This 68-nucleotide transfer RNA is filed under the name Xanthomonas phage 10KY502B. It matches the Rfam family "tRNA". Rfam says of the family: Transfer RNA (tRNA) molecules are approximately 80 nucleotides in length. Lineage: Duplodnaviria; Heunggongvirae; Uroviricota; Caudoviricetes. The record is from Rfam by way of RNAcentral.